RNAcentral lists this ribosomal RNA (497 nucleotides) under uncultured bacterium. Its description in RNAcentral is "partial 16S ribosomal RNA". It matches the Rfam family "Bacterial small subunit ribosomal RNA", at positions 28 to 507 of the family's 1533-position model. The record is from RNAcentral.
GAUGAACGCUGGCGGCGUGCCUAAUACAUGCAAGUCGAGCGAACAGAUGAGGAGCUUGCUCCUCUGACGUUAGCGGCGGACGGGUGAGUAACACGUGGAUAACCUACCUAUAAGACUGGGAUAACUUCGGGAAACCGGAGCUAAUACCGGAUAAUAUAUUGAACCGCAUGGUUCAAUAGUGAAAUACGGUUUUGCUGUCACUUAUAGAUGGAUCCGCGCCGCAUUAGCUAGUUGGUAAGGUAACGGCUUACCAAGGCAACGAUGCGUAGCCGACCUGAGAGGGUGAUCGGCCACCCUGGAACUGAGACACGGUCCAGACUCCUACGGGAGGCAGCAGUAGGGAAUCUUCCGCAAUGGGCGAAAGCCUGACGGAGCAACGCCGCGUGAGUGACGAAGGUCUUCGGAUCGUAAAACUCUGUUAUUAGGGAAGAACAAAUGUGUAAGUAAAUAUGCACGUCUUGACGGUACCUAAUCAGAAAGCCACGGCUAACUACGUG